RNAcentral lists this transfer RNA (87 nucleotides) under marine eukaryotic metagenome. It matches the Rfam family "tRNA". From Rfam's summary of the family: Transfer RNA (tRNA) molecules are approximately 80 nucleotides in length. Their secondary structure includes four short double-helical elements and three loops (D, anti-codon, and T loops). The record is from RNAcentral.
GAGAGAUGGCUGAGUGGCCGAAAGCGCUCGCCUCGAAAGCGAGUAGGCGGGUAGCCCCGCCUCGUGGGUUCGAAUCCCACUCUCUCC